CUGUCCCCGGGGCCGGCGGGAAGCUGCCUGGCGGGGCCGCGGCAGGAGGCGGGCGGCUCGGCUCGGCUCGGCUCGGCUCGGCCCUGCCGCCUGUGGGCGGUGCUGCGGGGGGAUCUGCGCUGAGCCCCGCCCGGCGGCUGGCUGGGGUUGACCUGGCCGCCACAUGCUUAAGCGACCUCAAAGGAAGAGAAGAGAAAUCUGCUAGAAUUCCACUGAAAGCAAGAUGGGCUGUUCCUUUACUUAAGAAAGGCAGAGGAACUUCAUACAGCAAAAACUUUCCCCUAGGUGGCACCAUGACCCACAGAACAGCUCACGUAGACUUCAGAACAAGCCACUUGUGACUGAAGAUGUGUCUGCUGAGUGAUGCAAACACAUUUUCAAACACUACUUGGUUGCCCUUCCUUUAAACGCUUGUAGCAUUUCUCCACAGACAGCAUUCUUGUCCUGCUAGAUCACAAAUGCUAGUGAUUAGAACAUGGUCAACAAAUGGUUUUAGUAGUAUGAACUACUCAUUACUUGCAAAAUUAACUUGGAAGUAUCUUGUUUAGAUAAUUUUAUUCCUUUGCAUUAAAGGGAGGGAGGACACUGACACUUUGUGUCCAUAGACUGUGGCAUUCUUGUGCUCGCUUGGGUAACAAAGAACUACUGUUGUCUGUGUAAGAGCUUCAUGUUACUACAUGCUUCAUUGAGAUCCUACCAGGGCUCCAGUCCUGGUCCUGCUAUGCUGCCAGUGUUGCAAGUUUGCAUCUCUCACAUUGUUUCUCUAGCUGUUAAGUAUAAAUACCUGUGGGGUAUGUGAAAGGUCUGCUUCUCAAAUGCACUGAGAUUAAGCAUAAAGAAUUUAAUCUGAUGCUCUGAAAAGGCACGUAACCAACUUUUCUAGGAGGAAUGCGCUGUGUCAUUAGCUACAUGGCUUGUAUUCAUACUCAAUCUGAAGAAAGCAUACCCGUUCUUCUUUGGAUUAGAUGGCAAUAGAAAUUUAAUGAUGAGAGGGGAAAAAAAAAAGGCUAAUCCUAGCCCACAGCUUUGUUACAGACAUUCAUAACUGGAUAUGAGUAUGAGAUACUUUAGUAAGUAACUGAUGUCCAUGUUUAGACUUCAUAAGGCAGGAACGUGUAUGUUGCAGUGAGCUGUUCUGGAGCCAGUGUUUCAGCCACUACUGGACCAAAAAUUGGCAUGAUAUUUCUGAUGUGCUGGCACUGGAGAUGGUGUUUGUCUGCAGCAGCUGCUCUGCUUUCGUGGUUCCCAAACAGCACAUGUGAGGGUUUACCUCCGGUGGAAGAAGCAUUCUGUCUUCUGAGAUGUGACACUAAAAUAACAGCAGAUAUUUGGGAUAAAAGAUAUUUGUGGUUUUGCAGCUAGCGUUAUGUUGAUGAUAGAGCUGAAAUUGAAAGGCAAUGUGAUAUCUACCUGCUGUCCAGUCCUACAGGUUGUUUGAGAAUUUUUGCAUAAUGCAAAGGGUGAUGGAAUUAUUAUUGUCUCUGGAUGUAAUAGUGUCUCAAAAGUUGAUAUUAUGAAGACUUUUGUGGUCUUCUGUUUGGAGCAUGAUUCUCUGUUGUUGUUGGUUUUUUAAUGAUUUUAAAAUAAACAGAACCCAUAUUUUUGGAGUUAAUGUGGUUAACAGAGAUCAGAUCUGUGUCCUAGAAUGCUUGUCUUGCAGACUUCCACAGUCUAACUGGACAUAAAAGAACAAUCAUCAUGCAGGCAGUUUAUUUCUGCCAUGUUAAAAUAUGACUUAGAAUUGACAGUAAGCAGCAAAGAAAGAAAUGAUUAUGAA
Molecule: long non-coding RNA, 1777 nt
Organism: Cygnus olor (mute swan)
Lineage: Eukaryota; Metazoa; Chordata; Aves; Anseriformes; Anatidae
Exons: 3
Source: RefSeq, a predicted model, not a curated record